UACGGAGGGUGCAAGCGUUAUCCGGAUUCACUGGGUUUAAAGGGUGCGUAGGCGGGCUUUUAAGUCAGUGGUGAAAUCUCCGGGCUCAACCCGGAAAUUGCCAUUGAUACUAUUAGUCUUGAAUUAAGUUGAGGUGGGCGGAAUGUGUCAUGUAGCGGUGAAAUGCUUAGAUAUGACACAGAACACCGAUUGCGAAGGCAGCUCGCUAAACUUAUAUUGACGCUGAGGCACGAAAGCGUGGGGAUCAAACAGG
RNAcentral lists this ribosomal RNA (253 nucleotides) under uncultured bacterium. Its description in RNAcentral is "partial 16S ribosomal RNA". It matches the Rfam family "Bacterial small subunit ribosomal RNA", at positions 524 to 776 of the family's 1533-position model. The record is from RNAcentral.